UUUUCAGAAAUUACUAUAAAAUGUAUUAUUGGAACAUAAAUAAGUUUCCUUGUAUGAUGAUUUGUCUCUUUCUUAUUUUUUUUUAAACUUUCCCAUUGGUGUUAUUUAUAUUUCCAGUGGGGAUUUCCAUAAUUACUGGAGAGAUAUUCUAGUGUUUAUUAAUAUGUGAACAGAAACUGUGUCAAGUUCACUGAAUUUUUCACUUUAAAAUCGUUACUGUUAUGCGAUUUCACUUUAAUAAAAAUGUUAAUUAAAGAAUCUUUGGCAUUUAAAUUAUGUGCCAUGUGUAAUUAACACUAUUACU
RNAcentral lists this long non-coding RNA (304 nucleotides) under Bos taurus (domestic cattle). RNAcentral describes it as "long non-coding RNA NONBTAT021496". Lineage: Eukaryota; Metazoa; Chordata; Mammalia; Artiodactyla; Bovidae. The record is from RNAcentral.